Molecule: long non-coding RNA, 881 nt
Filed under: Homo sapiens (human)
Lineage: Eukaryota; Metazoa; Chordata; Mammalia; Primates; Hominidae
Description: HSALNT0328086
Source: RNAcentral
UUUAAACAGAAGGCUCCAGGAGACAUACAAUCAACACUCCACUCAGACAAUGCCCAGACCUCCAGAAACCAUGUGUCAAGCUCGGAUUGCCUUAGACAGGUGCAAUUUAAGAACAGCUUUCAUCCUCUUUUCUCUCAUAUUGUCACACUAUGUGUUCUGACUUCUGGCUCCUUUCCUCACAAGAAGCUCACCCAGCUGGAACUCUUAUGGGACCUUGGCACCAGAGACCACAAAUUCCUCUUUGAAGUUUUCUAACAGCAACAAUGGUAUUUCUGACUUGGCUUUCUUGUAUUUCUCUCACGUUAACAAAAUUGGUUCAGCAUCUACCAUGGGCUACAUGCUGAGCUACAGGAACAAAACCCAUCAGAAGAUGUCAGAAGAUAAGGAUUUUUGUCCUGAUGCUACACUUACCAGCUGUCCCUCAGUGUUCUACUUCUUAAAAAAAGAGAGAUGGAUAAACAGAGGCAACCCGAGGAUAAAGGCCUUGCUCAGUGUCACACAUUUCAGUCACUAAAUAAGACACAAUGGAUGCCAGUAUUCUCAUCCCCUCACAAAUAAAGAGCCUUCAAGCUCUUGCAGUCAACAAGAACUUUUGGAAUGAUUUCACUGCCUGAAAAGGCAGAUACAUAGGUGACACCCACAAAUAGGAAGAAAAUCAACCUGAACCUGAGUGUGUGGGCUCACUGACUCUAAGCAGUAGAGACAGAAGAAAAAGUUUUAGCAAAGAAGGGUUCUGAAAGAAAAUAAAUAUAGCUCGUUAUCAAGUGCUGUUUUUACACAGUAAAACAUGGGCAAAAUUACUCUUCUUUAAGUAGUAAUUCUUAUCUCUUGAUUAAGUCACCUACUCAUUCAUUUAAUAAAUACAUACUGAUUGUUUUCUA